GUCUUCGUGGCUCAGUUGGCUAGAGCGUUGGUCUCAUAUUCGUAUGAUUCAGUCUUAGACUGGGCUAUCCAAAGGUCGUGAGUUCGAGCCUCACCGAGGACA
RNAcentral lists this transfer RNA (102 nucleotides) under Nemania diffusa. Its description in RNAcentral is "tRNA-Met". It matches the Rfam family "tRNA". From Rfam's summary of the family: Transfer RNA (tRNA) molecules are approximately 80 nucleotides in length. Their secondary structure includes four short double-helical elements and three loops (D, anti-codon, and T loops). Further hydrogen bonds mediate the characteristic L-shaped molecular structure. tRNAs have two regions of fundamental functional importance: the anti-codon, which is responsible for specific mRNA codon recognition, and the 3' end, to which the tRNAs corresponding amino acid is attached (by aminoacyl-tRNA synthetases). tRNAs cope with the degeneracy of the genetic code in two manners: having more than one tRNA (with a specific anti-codon) for a particular amino acid; and 'wobble' base-pairing, i.e. permitting non-standard base-pairing at the 3rd anti-codon position. Lineage: Eukaryota; Fungi; Ascomycota; Sordariomycetes; Xylariales; Xylariaceae. RNAcentral also lists the same sequence under 2 other names. The record is from RNAcentral.